This 308-nucleotide ribosomal RNA is filed under the name uncultured Sphingobacterium sp. RNAcentral describes it as "bacterial SSU rRNA". It matches the Rfam family "Bacterial small subunit ribosomal RNA", at positions 215 to 508 of the family's 1533-position model. Lineage: Bacteria; Pseudomonadati; Bacteroidota; Sphingobacteriia; Sphingobacteriales; Sphingobacteriaceae. The record is from RNAcentral.
GCGCUAUCAGAUGAGCCUAGGUCGGAUUAGGCUAGUUGUGAGGUAACUGGCUCACCAAGGCGACGAUCCGUAACUGGUCUGAGAGGAUGAUCAGUCACACUGGAAACUGAGACACGGUCCUAGACUCCUACGGGAGGCAGCAGUGGGGAAGUAUUGGACUAAUGGGCGAAAGCCCUGAUCCAGCCAUGCCGCGUGUGUGAAGAAGGUCUUCGGAUUGUAAAGCACUUUAAGUUGGGAGGAAGGGUUGUAGACUUAAUACUCUGCAAUUUUGACGUUACCGACAGAAUAAGCACCGGCUAACUCUGUGC